Molecule: long non-coding RNA, 1889 nt
Organism: Papaver somniferum (opium poppy)
Lineage: Eukaryota; Viridiplantae; Streptophyta; Magnoliopsida; Ranunculales; Papaveraceae
Exons: 3
Source: RefSeq, a predicted model, not a curated record
UCAGUGGUGGUGGCACGGUGGUGGUGGUGCUGCUAGUGUUGUUGGUGGUGGGUUGUUUGUUGGUGAUGAUAAUAUAAUAAAAUUGAAAGGUGGGGUUGAUUUUUAUUUUUGUUGAGGUGAUUUAAACUACUAAAAGGAUAAUAUAGAGAUAUUAUGUUAAAUAAGGUUUUUGUGAAUAAUUUAUUUUGUUGGAGUUUUUUUGCAUGGAUACUGAUACCUUUGAGGUUAUAACUCGCGACCCGUUCUUAUUCUUCGUCUGGAUAACAGAACAGAAGAGUGGAAAAACUUAUAUGUUAAACGAAGUUUUUGUGGAAAAACUUAUAUGCGUAUUCGGACGCACUAUUAGCGACGCCCUCUUGCUGCCUACCGAUCUAGAUAUACGCUAUUAAAAGUCAACCACAGCAGGAGAUAACAUGCCACAUGGCGUUGCAGAAGAGGAGGACGAUGGUGAUUAUAACGUGACUACGCGUGAUUGACCACCGGAGCCUUGAGUUAUGGAGAUCUGAAUAUUUAUAUCAACCAAACAACUUCCACAACAGGAAGAGCAUGGAGGUGGUGGUGGGGGAGUGUUUCUACAACAACAUUGCUCGAACCAAGAAUAAUCACCUCCCUCGUAGUCUCUACUGUGAUCCUGCACUGAAAAAGUUGGGAUAAGAGAUAACUCUCAAUUAUUAUUUCAUGACCUUUUUUUUGUCCUAUAACUAAGAUCCCCAAUUAUUUUUCCCGGACCCUAAUUUAGCCUUCAUAAUUUAGGUUGUGCCAAAAUCAUCAUCUCCAUUAUCUUCCUUGUAUGCACAAAUAUAUAUAUACUCAUGAUAACAAAUGCUCAUUAAUAUUCACCUUCCCGUGCCACAUGUUGUUCUUUUAGUUUCUUUUUGUUUUUCCUUUUGAUAAUUUUUCUUUUGAUAAAUUUUCAGCGGAACAGCGGAGGCGGAUCCAACGUAUAACAACUAACAAGGGUGCGCAAGUGCGACCCCUUGAUUUUCAGAAUAUCUACUAACAGGCCUAUUUUCCCAAGCCCAAACAAAAAUUUAUACCUAGUUACGCCCCCUUGAAGCCCAAUUUAACUGUUAAUACCGACUGAUUUAUUGGUCUGCAAUCCCAAAUUUAGUUCUUUACUAUUAUGUGCAAUGGGAAAAAAAAUUGGCUUGAUCUUUUUGUUGUGUAUUAUUUUAUUUGUUACCGACUGCCUAGAAAUCCUAGAUUUGCCAAACUCAGAUCAUAUAAUCAACGAGGCGUUGCACAAAAUUUUUUCCAUUACGAGUGUUAAUAGAAUUUUUUGUUUCUACAAAUUUAACAGAGGUACUUAAGUUUUUUUUAGUAGUUUUUGGACUUCCAAAUUUGGGCUUUAAGCGGCUGUCUAGAAAAUGUGUUACCUUCGGGUCAUUUAAGGUCAUAUUAAGAAGCUAUUCGAAUUUAAGCCUGGCAUCAUUAUUAGGAGCAACCAUGAAAAAAUUAGGACCAUUAAUAAGACAAAAUAGGGUCACCCAAACCUAAAUUGAAGCCAUCCUUAUCUUUGAUUUUUUGAAAUGGCAAAUAUACCCUCCACAAUCGAUAGAUAAAACUACAAUUGGUAGUUUAAUUUGGUCUGCCUCAUUCUUUUUUCUACGAACCCCAUAAUCGGUAGUUAAUUCCACAAGCGGGUGUGUUAGUAUAUACAAUCGGUGGAUAUUCUCAUAAUCGGUAGUGUUGGUGUAUACAAUCGAUAGUUAACGUUAUAAUCGGUAGUUAAUGUCUAUAUAGUUGGUUUUAGGAAAUUUUUUCCCAUUAUUUGGUUUUAGUUUUUGGUGGGAGAGAGAGAAGAAGAAGAGAAAUAAGAAGAAGUGGGAGUUUACCAUUUUUCUUAAAUCAACAAGAAACAUGGAUGGGUAUGAAGAAGAAGGUGAAGA